AUAGUUGUGUAUCUUAGUUUUACUGUCUGAUACUCGGACUCGCCAUUCUCCCUUGCCACACCCGUGUUGACACGACACGACACUACACUGGAUAAGACACGGAAUGUGUCCGAUACACAUCCAUGAAAUUCAAUACGCAGGCGUAAAUGAUUCCUUGGGAAAUUGGACUGUGUUUUGCUUGUCUCUGUUUCAUAGGGGUUACGUGGCAGGUAUACACUAGGGUUCACAUGUGGACAAAACUCUGCAUAUUCUUUCUCUAUUUUUAAAUGGGUCAAGAUACUUUCAC
RNAcentral lists this unclassified non-coding RNA (286 nucleotides) under Hevea brasiliensis (rubber tree). The record is from RNAcentral. Lineage: Eukaryota; Viridiplantae; Streptophyta; Magnoliopsida; Malpighiales; Euphorbiaceae.